CAUUUCAGCAGCACGUAAUACACUACAAUUGGAAUAAUACAGACAUAAAAAGCAUGUCCUCUUCACAAGGAUGCCCUACAAAUUUGUGAAACAUUCCAUUUUUUU
Molecule: small nuclear RNA, 105 nt
Organism: Sciurus carolinensis (gray squirrel)
Lineage: Eukaryota; Metazoa; Chordata; Mammalia; Rodentia; Sciuridae
Source: RefSeq, a predicted model, not a curated record